This 84-nucleotide transfer RNA is filed under the name Thermoplasmata archaeon HGW-Thermoplasmata-1. RNAcentral's name for it is "tRNA-Ser". It matches the Rfam family "tRNA". From Rfam's summary of the family: Transfer RNA (tRNA) molecules are approximately 80 nucleotides in length. Their secondary structure includes four short double-helical elements and three loops (D, anti-codon, and T loops). The record is from RNAcentral. Lineage: Archaea; Methanobacteriati; Thermoplasmatota; Thermoplasmata.
GCGGAGGUAGCUCAGCCUGGUAAGGCGCAUGACUGGAAAUCAUGUGGGGGCAACCCCCCGGGAGUUCGAAUCUCCCCCUCCGCG